Molecule: ribosomal RNA, 440 nt
Filed under: uncultured bacterium
Lineage: Bacteria
Description: partial 16S ribosomal RNA
Rfam family: Bacterial small subunit ribosomal RNA
Source: RNAcentral
CCUACGGGUGGCAGCAGUGGGGAAUAUUGCACAAUGGGGGAAACCCUGAUGCAGCGAAGCCGCGUGAGGGAAGAAGUAAUUCGGUAUGUAAAGCUCUAUCAGCAGGGGAGAAAAUGACUGUACCUGAGUAAGUAGCUACGGCUAACUACGAGACAGCAGCCGCGGUAAUACGUAGGGGGCCAGCGUUAUCCGGAUUUACAGGGUGUAAAGGGAGCGUAGUCGGCAGUGCAGGUCUGGAGUGAAAGUCGGGGGCUCAACCCCCGGACUGCUCUGGAAACUGGACGGCUGGAGUGCAGGAGAGGUGAGUGGAAUUCCUAGUGUAGCGGUGAAAUGCGUAGAUAUUAGGAGGAACACCAGUUGCGAAGGCGGCUUACUGGACUGUAACUGACGUUGAGGCUCGAAAGCGUGGGGAGCAAACAGGAUUAGAUACCCGAGUAGUC